UCUUGCUUGGACACAUUCUGCUGGUUCUCUUUAGUAGCGAUCGUGCCUUCAAAAUGACCAGAUUGGGAUUGAUCUCUCUUGUGAUUCUCACGAUAGUUCUUCUAGAUGUCCUCAAUACGGGGCACUCAGUUCCUCUUCAAGGGUUCCAUGCAACACAGAGGGUUCCUAUAGCACGAGCAAGGAAAUUCUGCAUCCCCCACAGUACCUUCCUCGAUGACUGCAAUUGGUGCAAGUGCAACGGUGAAGGUGAUAAUUUUGUGUGUACAACAGAAAGGUGUGGCAAUACCAAACCCAGGACAAAAUCAUAUGGAUAAAUAAACCAACAUUUGUGUUCAAAA
Molecule: long non-coding RNA, 338 nt
Organism: Lutzomyia longipalpis
Lineage: Eukaryota; Metazoa; Arthropoda; Insecta; Diptera; Psychodidae
Exons: 2
Source: RefSeq, a predicted model, not a curated record